Molecule: long non-coding RNA, 640 nt
Organism: Synchiropus splendidus (mandarinfish)
Lineage: Eukaryota; Metazoa; Chordata; Actinopteri; Syngnathiformes; Callionymidae
Exons: 3
Source: RefSeq, a predicted model, not a curated record
UAACUCUUUCCCGUCUCUCAACAGAUCCCGGUUCUUGCCAAAAGUCGGGAGAGUUUCAAUUUUGCCAUUAACUCUUCUUAUUAUUCAGACUUGCCAGUUUCCAGCAGGGGUCGCCACAGGACCGCGAAAGCCACCACUUCAUCACACACACUCCAAACCUCUCGUAGGCAAGCAAGACAUCGUCAUCGAGAGAGUCAUCUCUUUCUGAGGAUGAUUGGGCCGGUCCCUCGGGUGUCCAUCUUAGGAGAAUUGCAGUGUCAGAUCAAGGAAGGAAAAUAAUGAAGGUCGAGGGCGGAUGCUACAUCCUGUGUGAUGCAUGGGAGGGGUCAGCUGCAUCCUCACAGUGUUAGUAGCUACAAUAUUAUUUCUGGUUUAAACAUUUUAGAAGUUAUUUAACAUCUUAUGAAACAGUUUUUCAUUCUUGAAAUAUUUCUUAAAGAUAACACAGGAGAAACAAAACACUUUUUUAGUCUUCACUAAUAGUUCAAAUGACACAGCUACCCAACUCAUGCACCAUUUUUUCAAAAUGUGUUUAAAACAGAUAAUUUCUACUUGUUUGAGAAAUACUUUUAGUUUUUCAGAAAAUAACAUUCAGUGAACAAGGAUAAAACAAAAGGGAGGAAUACUUUUAGUUUUCAGA